UACGAAGGGGGCUAGCGUUGUUCGGAUUUACUGGGCGUAAAGCGCACGUAGGCGGGUCGUUAAGUCGGGGGUGAAAUCCUGGAGCUCAACUCCAGAACUGCCUUCGAUACUGGCGACCUAGAGUCCGGAAGAGGUGAGUGGAACUCCUAGUGUAGAGGUGGAAUUCGUAGAUAUUAGGAAGAACACCAGUGGCGAAGGCGGCUCACUGGUCCGGUACUGACGCUGAGGCACGAAAGCGUGGGGAGCAAACAGG
This 253-nucleotide ribosomal RNA is filed under the name uncultured bacterium. Its description in RNAcentral is "partial 16S ribosomal RNA". It matches the Rfam family "Bacterial small subunit ribosomal RNA", at positions 524 to 776 of the family's 1533-position model. The record is from RNAcentral.